This 253-nucleotide ribosomal RNA is filed under the name uncultured bacterium. RNAcentral's name for it is "partial 16S ribosomal RNA". It matches the Rfam family "Bacterial small subunit ribosomal RNA", at positions 524 to 776 of the family's 1533-position model. The record is from RNAcentral.
UACGUAGGUGGCAAGCGUUGUCCGGAUUUACUGGGCGUAAAGGGCGUGCAGGCGGUUUGUUAAGUGCAGGGUGAAAGCCCCCGGCUCAACUGGGGAGGGUCACGCGAUACUGUUCGACUCGAAGGCAGGAGAGGGAAGUGGAAUUCCCGGUGUAGUGGUGAAAUGCGUAGAUAUCGGGAGGAACACCAGUGGCGAAGGCGACUUCCUGGCCUGUUCUUGACGCUGAGGCGCGAAAGCUAGGGUAGCAAACGGG